AUUGGGGGCGUGACAAACGUGGUGGGAGAAGACUGCCUCGUGGCGGCUGGGGAACGGAAUGGGAACGGCUCUUUCGGGAUCUUUCCCCGGGCGUCGAACAGCCAACUCAGAACUGGUAUGGACAAGGGGAAUCCGAGUGUUUAAUUAAAACAAAGCAUUGCGUUGGUCCCUGCGGAUGCUACCGCAAUGUGAUUUCUGCCCUGUGCUCUGAAUGUCAAAGUGAAGAAAUUCAACCAAGCGCGUGUAAACGGCGUGAGUAACUAUGACUCUCUUAAGGUAGCCAAAUGCCUCGUCAUCUAAUUAGUGACGCGCAUGAAUGGAUUAACGAGAUUCCCACUG
Molecule: non-coding RNA, 339 nt
Organism: Brassica napus (rape)
Lineage: Eukaryota; Viridiplantae; Streptophyta; Magnoliopsida; Brassicales; Brassicaceae
Source: Rfam